RNAcentral lists this ribosomal RNA (468 nucleotides) under uncultured bacterium. RNAcentral describes it as "partial 16S ribosomal RNA". It matches the Rfam family "Bacterial small subunit ribosomal RNA", at positions 28 to 507 of the family's 1533-position model. The record is from RNAcentral.
GACGAACGCUGGCGGCGUGCUUAACACAUGCAAGUCGAACGGAAAGGCCCUGCUUUUGUGGGGUGCUCGAGUGGCGAACGGGUGAGUAACACGUGAGUAACCUGCCCCUGACUUUGGGAUAACUUCAGGAAACUGGGGCUAAUACCGGAUAGGAGCUCCUGCUGCAUGGUGGGGGUUGGAAAGUUUCGGCGGUUGGGGAUGGACUCGCGGCUUAUCAGCUUGUUGGUGGGGUAGUGGCUUACCAAGGCUUUGACGGGUAGCCGGCCUGGGAGGGUGACCGGCCACAUUGGGACUGAGAUACGGCCCAGACUCCUACGGGAGGCAGCAGUGGAGAAUAUUGCACAAUGGGCGGGAGCCUGAUGCAGCAACGCCGCGUGCGGGAUGACGGCCUUCGGGUUGUGAACCGCUUUCGCCUGUGACGAAGCGUGAGUGACGGUAAUGGGUAAAGAAGCACCGGCUAACUACGUG